Molecule: microRNA, 21 nt
Filed under: Arabidopsis thaliana (thale cress)
Lineage: Eukaryota; Viridiplantae; Streptophyta; Magnoliopsida; Brassicales; Brassicaceae
Description: ath-miR8176
Source: miRBase by way of RNAcentral
GGCCGGUGGUCGCGAGAGGGA